This is a long non-coding RNA of Oncorhynchus tshawytscha (Chinook salmon), 645 nucleotides long. The record is from Ensembl. Lineage: Eukaryota; Metazoa; Chordata; Actinopteri; Salmoniformes; Salmonidae.
GUGGGGUGUAGGUGGGGUUGUAUGGUGGUGUGUAGAUGUGGUAUGGUGGGGUGUAGGUGGGGUUGUAUGGUGGUGUGUAGGUGGGGUGGUAUGGUGGUGUGUAGAUGGGGUGGUAUGGUGGUGUGUAGAUGGGGUGGUAUGGUGGUGUGGAGAUGGGGUAAGGUGGGGUGUAGGUGGGGUUGUAUGGUGGUGUGUAGAUGUGGUAUGGUGGGGUGGUAUGGUGGUGUGUAGGUGGGGUUGUAUGGUAGUGUGUAGAUGUGGUAAGGUGGGGUUGUAUGGUGUUGUGUAGAUGUGGUAAGGUGGGGUGGUAUGGUGGGGUUGUAUGGUGGUGUGUAGAUGGGGUAAGGUGGGGUGGUAUGGUGGUGUGUAGAUGGGGUAAGUUGGGGUUGUAUGGUGGUGUGUAGGUGGGGUAAGGUGGGGUGGUAUGGUGGUGUGUAGGUGGGGUUGUAUGGUGGUGUGUAGAUGGGGUAAGGUGGGGUUGUAUGGUGGGGUGGUAUGGUGGGGUUGUAUGGUGGUGUGUAGAUUGGGUAAGGUGGGGUUGUAUGGUGGUGUGUAGAUUGGGUAAGGUGGGGUCGUAUGGUGGUGUGUAGAUGUGGUAAGGUGGGGUGGUAUGGUGGGGUUGUAUGAUGGUGUGUAGACGGGGUU